Molecule: long non-coding RNA, 229 nt
Filed under: Ananas comosus (pineapple)
Lineage: Eukaryota; Viridiplantae; Streptophyta; Magnoliopsida; Poales; Bromeliaceae
Description: long non-coding RNA (ACOM_LNC041987)
Source: RNAcentral
GUUCGGCUCGGCCAAAACUGCCCUAGCUGGCAGCAGGGUGCUCGGGCGACGGCGGCAGCGCUCGGGGGAGGCGGCGGCUGGUGGGGGAAACUCCGACGGUGUCGGGGCGACACCGGCAAGGUGCAAGGAGGCAAUGCAGCCUCGGCCAAGGCUCCAAACCGAGAAGAAAAGAGAGAGAGAUGGAGGGAGAGAUGGAGAGGGAGCUACAGAGAGAUGGAACCUCCUUCUC